This 433-nucleotide ribosomal RNA is filed under the name uncultured bacterium. Its description in RNAcentral is "partial 16S ribosomal RNA". It matches the Rfam family "Bacterial small subunit ribosomal RNA", at positions 29 to 507 of the family's 1533-position model. The record is from RNAcentral.
AACGAACGCUGGCGGCAUGCCUAACACAUGCAAGUCGAACGAGACCUUCGGGUCUAGUGGCGCACGGGUGCGUAACGCGUGGGAACCUGCCCUUAGGUUCGGAAUAACUCCCCGAAAGGGGUGCUAAUACCGGAUAAUGUCUUCGGACCAAAGAUUUAUCGCCUUUGGAUGGGCCCGCGUUGGAUUAGCUAGUUGGUAGGGUAAAAGCCUACCAAGGCGACGAUCCAUAGCUGGUCUGAGAGGAUGAUCAGCCACACUGGGACUGAGACACGGCCCAGACUUCUUCGGGAAGGAAGAAGGGGGGAUAAUGGAACAUUGGCGGAAGGCUGAACCCACAAAGGCGGGGUAGUGAUGGAGGCCUUAAGGUUGUAAAGGCCUUUUACCCGGGAUGAUAAUGACAGUACCGGGAGAAUAAGCUCCGGCUAACUCCGUG